Molecule: ribosomal RNA, 253 nt
Filed under: uncultured bacterium
Lineage: Bacteria
Description: partial 16S ribosomal RNA
Rfam family: Bacterial small subunit ribosomal RNA
Source: RNAcentral
UACGUAGGGACCGAGCGUUGUCCGGAUUCAUUGGGCGUAAAGAGCUCGUAGGCGGCUGUUCAAGUCGAACGUGAAAACUCGGGGCUUAACCCCGAGCCUGCAGUGGAUACGGGCAGACUAGAGGUAGGUAGGGGAGAAUGGAAUUCCCGGUGUAGCGGUGAAAUGCGCAGAUAUCGGGAGGAACACCGGUGGCGAAGGCGGUUCUCUGGGCCUUACCUGACGCUGAGGAGCGAAAGCGUGGGGAGCGAACAGG